CGACCGGGGGUGACGGCCAGCCGGAGGUGUAGGAGCAGCGAGGGGCGGCGCUGGGACGGUGGUGGAGGAGCAGCGACGAGCGCGCCGGCCAUGCCGCCGCUCGCCGGAGCACAUCAGCAUCUCGUCGCUCGUAAAUAUUACUUCCCCAUGUUAUGCUUGACAUGGCCUGUCGAAGUUGCAAGUGGUGACUGGUGAGCAAGAGCAAAGUCGCUACCUCACUUGAAGAGCUCUCACCUGUCACCGAGAGGCCUCAUCCAAAUUGCUACACAUCAACUUCUUUGGACUCGCCAAGGCGGCACCCCUCUUGGAAAAUCUGAGGGUUAUUAGGUCAUCUGAGACCUGAAUUAUAAGCACAGUCAUGUAUUUGUGACAAUUAUUAGAAGCGAAUGGUCGAGAAAUUGGAUGUGAGGGUGGCCCUGGUGUGGGAGGCGGCGCGGCCUCGGCAGAAGGACCAGACGGAGUCCAGUGUGGAAUGUUGCUGUUCUAGGUUGGUUACCACAUCAACUAAGUUGUGUUCUCCUUUAAGCUCUCGAUCUCUUGACGGCGCUGCUAAUACUGGUGACAUGGUUUGAAAUAGGGAAUCUUGGGUAAUAAUUUGAUUACCAAAGAUUUCGAUUUGCUGUGAAUGGCAUAAUUAUUUGAGCACGGAAGACAACAAAGGUGCAUGGUCUCAUGAAGAGGGCAUUCUUUUAUGUGAGGCUUGGUACAGACGUCUUGUCAACCCUGCUGUCUGCGCUCCUCAACUGAAUAUCGGCGUGGACGCUGGCACAUUCCCGAGGGUGCAUUUGAGCAGUGACGGUCAUCUUGCCGAUUCAGUACGCUGGUGAUCUAAUACUAGGUGUUGACCAUGAGGAUUUCACGAAUAUUAGAAGGUUGCUGCAGAUCGGUACUGAAAUCCAGGCUGCCCGGUUUUCUUCUUGGACUUGCACAAGCUCCCUCUGACGAAAGCAGUUAGAUACUUGAACAAGAGAAGCUAUUUUGGCAUCCCCUGAUUACUACCUACACUCCUGUACUAGACAAGGAUGAGGUGAAGGUCAAAAUAUGUGUGAACCGGGGGAUGACUCUUCUUUUGAUGAUGAGAACAUGCUAGAUCGAAGAGGGCAUGCUUUUGUGUGGGGGAUAUCUAAUACUCCGUAUAUGAAGUCAUAAAUCAGGGAUAUAUGUAAAUCAGGUAUGACGCUUGGUUCAUGCUGGGCGAUGGAGAAUCACUGCUGAAGGUGAUAUUGAAGGCAUCAUCAUGGCAGGUCCUACGCUCUAGGUUUAUGCUGGCUUUUAGUAGAAUAUUGCAGUUCCUUUGAGUGCAGUGGUUUGUUUUUUAAGAUCUAUAGAACUUCAAAUUGUGAGAAUUAUUUGUUAACGUCUCCUAUUAUCUUGUCUUAAUGCAUUGUCUCAAUUUGACCAAGCAGAAGCUCUCAAACAAUGCAGCAUACAUGUAAUGUAAUCGUCAGGAAAAAAGAAGAACUACGGUCCCCAUACAGGCUGUCAAUUUACUAUCGGUGCCUAUGUGUUUUAUUUCUUGCUAAUCAUUACCAUGUAUUCACUUACUGACGCAUGGUUUCAAUUCCGGCUUGGAUUCGGGAUUCACGCCAGUGGCGAUGCGGGUCAGUAGAGAUAUUUUGCUGCAUCGAUAUUCAAGAUCGAUGGUAUAUUUAUGCUAUGUUGUGCUCCCUUUGUUCUAUCAAAUAUGCAAUUUUGUCUCGACAAGACUAAUUUCGUCGCCUGCUCGUGUUCCAAGUGUAUCAUGUAUAUGUUUUCAUAUUUUAGACACAUGGAUAUAUGAUGAAAGUCGCACUUU
This is a non-coding RNA of Lolium perenne, 1795 nucleotides long. The record is from RefSeq and is a predicted model, not a curated record. NCBI's taxonomy places the organism in Eukaryota, Viridiplantae, Streptophyta, Magnoliopsida, Poales, Poaceae.